UACAGAGGUGGCAAGCGUUAUCCGGAAUUACUGGGCGUAAAGGGCGCGUAGGCGGCCACCGCAAGUCGACUGUGAAAUCUCCGGGCUUAACUCGGAAAGGUCAGCCGAUACUGCGGGGCUAGAGUGCAGAAGGGGCAACUGGAAUUCUCGGUGUAGCGGUGAAAUGCGUAGAUAUCGAGAGGAACACCUGCGGCGAAGGCGGGUUGCUGGGCUGACACUGACGCUGAUUGUGCGAAAGCUAGGGGAGCGAACGGG
Molecule: ribosomal RNA, 255 nt
Filed under: uncultured bacterium
Lineage: Bacteria
Description: partial 16S ribosomal RNA
Rfam family: Bacterial small subunit ribosomal RNA
Source: RNAcentral